RNAcentral lists this ribosomal RNA (499 nucleotides) under uncultured bacterium. RNAcentral's name for it is "partial 16S ribosomal RNA". It matches the Rfam family "Bacterial small subunit ribosomal RNA", at positions 30 to 523 of the family's 1533-position model. The record is from RNAcentral.
AUUGAACGCUGGCGGCAUGCUUUACACAUGCAAGUCGAACGGCAGCACGGACUUCGGUCUGGUGGCGAGUGGCGAACGGGUGAGUAAUACAUCGGAACGUACCCAGUAAUGGGGGAUAACUAUCCGAAAGGAUAGCUAAUACCGCAUACGCCCUACGGGGAAAGAGGGGGAUCGCAAGACCUCUUGUUAUUGGAGCGGCCGAUGGCUGAUUAGCUAGUUGGUGAGGUAAAGGCUCACCAAGGCGACGAUCAGUAGCGGGUCUUAGAGGACGAUCCGCCACACUGGAACUGAGACACGGUCCAGACUCCUACGGGAGGCAGCAGUGGGGAAUCUUGGACAAUGGGCGCAAGCCUGAUCCAGCAAUGCCGCGUGCGUGAAGAAGGCCUUCGGGUUGUAAAGCGCUUUUGUCAGGGAGCAAAAGGUGGUGGCUAAUAUCCAUCGCUCUUGAGAGUACCUGAAGAAUAAGGACCGGCUAACUACGUGCCAGCCGCCGCAGUAA